CUUGACUUUGGGGGUAGAGGUUGGGGAGGGCUGAGGGUGGGAAUAUGCCUCAGUUGGGUCUUCCUGGAGGACUGAGAGCCCCAGUCAACAGCUCACUUGGAAGCCUCACACCUCAGCCUUUCCCUUAAGAGGGCUCCGGUGUCUGCUGGGAGACCAGCAGGCCGAGAGGCUGUGAAGUGAAGGCUGGGGUGCCACGGUGCCUCUCCCCCUCGACACCGAUGGCGGUCACCAGCAGGAAGACACCCAGGCCUCCCGACUGAGAAGGGGUGAUCCAGACUGCCCCGGUGCCCAGGGCUGUAACUGGCCCGUGGUCCCAGCCACGGGUGGAGAUGCGUGGAGAGGCUCCAGGGGUACCCUGGGUGUGAGCGGGGCAUGGGGUAUCUGAAGAGUGGGCGAGGCGGUGGCUGUGGGCAGGCCAUCAUGCCUCUUCUGUGCGGGGGUCCAUUCAGUACUGCUGCCCCCCACCCCCUACUCUAGACCUCAGGCCUUGUCUUUCUCAUGCAGAAGGCCGGCAGGGAGACCGGGCCAGCCCUGCGUUCAGGACCUCCGUGGGGCCUGGCUCCCCUGAGGGAGGCAGAGCAUCUGUCAUUGUCUCAGGAGACUGAGGCUCGGAGGGGCCUUGCUGGAGUCCUCCCACCCCCAUCAGGCACUUCUCCUUGGGGAGCCCCUCACGAGCCCACUCUGUGUCUAUUUCUUCUCCUUUUUGAAGUGACUGUGAUACCUUAGAGCUUUGAUUUCCUAGAUCAGAGCAGAAUAAGAGAAGAUCAUUAGAAACGUGCAGGGGCAGGAAUUCCCUAGUGGCCCAGUGACUAAGACUCUGUGCUUUCAAUGCAGGGGGUCCAGGUUCGAUCCCUGGUCAAGGAAGUAGAUGCUAUAUGCUACAACUAAAGAUCCCGCUGCUGCAAUGAAGAUCAAAGAUCCUGUGUGUGGCAACUAAGACUCAGCGCAGUCACAUAAUAAAUAUUUAAAAGAAGAAGAAAUAUACAGGAGAAAGAGAAAUGGUUGCAAAAUCUAAACAUUUGCUAAGAGGGUCUGUGGUAAAGACUGUGGACUUCCCUCAUAGCUCAGUUGGUAAAGAAUCUGCGGGGAGUGCAGGAGACCCGUGUUCAAUUCCUGGAUCUGGAAGAUCCCCUGGAGAAGGAAAUGGCAACCCACUCUAGUAUUCUUGCCUGGAGAAUGCCAUGGACAGAGGAGCCUGGCAGGCUACAGUCCAUGGGGUUACAUGAGUCGGACACGAUUUAGUGACUAAACCACCACCACCGUCUGUGGUAAAGAACCCACCUGCCAAUGCAGGAGAUGCAAGAGACAUGGGUUCAAUCCCUGGGUUGGGAAGAUCCCCUGGAGGAGGGCAUGGCAACCCACCCCAAUAUUCUUGCCUGGAGAAUCCCAUGGAUGGAGGAGCCUAGCUGGUCACAGUAUAUAGGGUCAAAGAAAGUCAGACACGACUGACCACGCACACACCAAGAGAGGACCCAGAGCCACCAGGCAACCACAGGCCACCUGUGGGCACUGCCAGGUGGCUGACCCCAGGACCCACUGAAUGCCUGUCACUGCUGAAUGCCUUGGGACAUUCAGUGCAGGAGACCCAUGUUCAAUUCCUGGGUUGGGAAGAGGGGGAGGCUGCAUUUGUAGGACAUUUUGUUAAAGCAAACUGGGUAUAAAUAAGGAUUUAUGCCCACGGAUGUCUGUCGCAACUGGCCACCACCUCAGUGUUCAGCAGUGUUGGGGCUUGUUGAAAUGAAUUAUAGCACUUCCUAUGACAGAAUAUGAUGCAGCCAGUAAAUAUGACACUUAGCAAAAAAUUGUAAUUACAUAGGAAACGCUUUUGGUGUAACAUAAAAUCAGGAUAUAAAACGAUAUGUGCAUGUAUGUUAUGUCAAUAAAAAGGAAAAAGAAAAAACUAAAUGCUGUGAGCUCAACUUCAUUUAAAGACAUAUAAGGAAAAAGUGGAAAGAAAACGCCCCCAAAUUCUAACCUUAUUUAUAUCUGGCUGGUGAUUUUUAAAUUUUUAGUACUUGUUCUUUAUUGUAUUUCCAAAUUUCUACACUAAAUACUUUCAAGUUUUAAAGUUAUUUGAAAUAAAAGUGAAAACUGUAUCCUGUAUUUAAGAGAAAGUCUCAUUUCUCUGAAAAAAUGUUUAUGUGGAUGUGUAAGUUCUUCGAGUGUAUUUUAUACUCUCUAUUCUUCAGUUUGAGGCAUCAAAAAGCAGAGACAUCACUUUGCCGACAAUAGUCUGUAUAGUCAAAGCUAUGGUUUUUCCAGUAGUCAUGUACGGAUGUGAGAGUUGAACCAUAAAGAAAAUUUAGCUUUCUUCUGAAAAAUUGAUGCUUUCAAACAUCAAAAGAGUGGUGCUGGGGAGUCCCUUGGACAGCAAGGAGAUCAAACCAGUCAAUUCUAAAGGAAAUCAACCCUGAAUAUUCAUCGGAAGGACUGAUGCUGAAGCUGAAGCUCCAAAUAAUUUGGGCACCUGAUACGAUGAAACGACUCAUUGGAAAAGACCCCGAUGCUGGGAAAGAUUGAAGGCGGGAGGAAAAGAGGGAACAGGGGAUGAGAUGGUUGGAUGGCAUCACUGACUCAAUGGACACGAGUGUGGGCAAACUCAGGGAGAUAGUGAGGGACAGGGAAGCCUGGUGUGCUGCAGUCCAUGGGGUUGCAAAGAGUUGGACGUGACUUAGUGACUGAACAACAAAAGGAGCUUGAACCAGGAGAGCAUUUGACAACAAGUAACUGAAGACCCCACUAACAGAGAGAUAAUAGGAAGUCCCCGUUAGGCCAGCCAGGGCUGAUGUGGUCCAGUGAUGCUGUGGCAGAAACAGACCUCCUGUUGUCCACCCUGAAAUUGAUGCUGGAUAACCUCAGGCAGACCGGGCAGCCCAGGGCAGAGUGUGUUUGUGGGAGGCUAUGCCAGAGGAAGAGAUCUGCCCAAGGUCACACUGCUGCUCGGUGAGCUGAAUGACCAAAGGAUGGAUGGCUGCAAGGAAGGCAGGAUUAGAACCUGGCUCUUAACCCUUUUCCACACUGCCAAGUCUAGCCAUCUGGGCAUGUGAGGCCCCAGAAAACCUGGCCCUGCUGACCUACCUACUUAGCACUGAACUGCUGCAGCUCACACGCACCCACAAGUUUACUCUGUGCUUUUGCUCAUGCUCUUCCCUCUGCCUGGAUGCCUUUCCCUGCUGUCCCGCCUUCCUUGGUGUAACUUCUACUCACUGUUUGAAAAUCAGCCUCAUUUCCUCUUGGAGGCCUUCCUGACCGCCUGGCUGGGCUAGUGGUGCCUUUUCUGCACCCACAGGGUUCUGUGCUUGCUGCAUUUACCGCACUUAGAUUUCUCUGUUCCCGUGGUGACUCCCCUCUUCCCAGCCUCCGAGCCCCUUGAGGGCAGACUGUGUCAAAUUCAUCUCAGCAUCCACCUGGCCCCAGUCCAGGCACAUUUGAGCAGAAAAUCCUAGGACUGGUUAUCCCUCUGCUCCCGCGGGAGCCUUGACAAGUCAUAACCUCGUUUCCCUGCCCCAGAUGUCAUGGAGCUGGACUUCACCAGAUCCCUUCUGAGACGCAACCAUCCACAAGACAGGCAGGGCUGGCACGGGAUGGCCUGUGUUGGGUGCCUGAGAUCCAGCGGGGCAAGGGGCCCUGGGGCAGGACGCCCACG
Long non-coding RNA from Bos grunniens (domestic yak), 3646 nucleotides. Lineage: Eukaryota; Metazoa; Chordata; Mammalia; Artiodactyla; Bovidae. The record is from Ensembl.